UCCCAGUCUUCCAGCUUAAACAUUUCACAACACUAAAUCCAUACUCUUUCUCCUUGUGUCUUACAAUUCUCCAAGCUAGAUCCCUGAGCAUAUUCCAUAAUCAGUGGGAAAGGGAGCUGAGCACAUCUGCACAGCCUCCUGUUUCGAAGCUGUUACGGUAAAUAUUUCCAGGAGGCAUGACUCCUUCGGCUUCAAGACCAUCUAUUGCCACUUUUAACUGAUUAAAGUGAUUGCCUGGGACUGCUGGAUCUAUUCCAACUCUGUAUAAAUAUAGUCAGAACAUAACGUGCUGAAUCUGUGUGUGUGAACUCUGCUUCUCACUAGUAUCUGGCUUCUGUUACAAGCGUUAGCUUCUUCUACACUAGUUAAAAAUAUCUAACCAUUAAACAACUAAGCAUAUGCCAACCGUGUUCACAUUCAACCGCAGAACUAAGCUGAACCUGGAUUAGGUGAGCAGAGGUAAAGCACAUGAUAGAAGAAAACAGCAACACACAUUCAGC
Molecule: long non-coding RNA, 500 nt
Filed under: Homo sapiens (human)
Lineage: Eukaryota; Metazoa; Chordata; Mammalia; Primates; Hominidae
Description: HSALNT0367418
Source: RNAcentral